GAUCCUGGCUCAGGAUGAACGCUAGCUACAGGCUUAACACAUGCAAGUCGAGAGGCAUCAGUUUGGUUUGCUUGCAAACCAAAGCUGGCGACCGGCGCACGGGUGAGUAACACGUAUCCAACCUGCCUCAUACUCGGGGAUAGCCUUUCGAAAGAAAGAUUAAUAUCCGAUAGCAUAUAUUUCCCGCAUGGGUUUUAUAUUAAAGAAAUUCGGUAUGAGAUGGGGAUGCGUUUCAUUAGUUUGG
This 244-nucleotide ribosomal RNA is filed under the name uncultured bacterium. RNAcentral's name for it is "partial 16S ribosomal RNA". It matches the Rfam family "Bacterial small subunit ribosomal RNA", at positions 15 to 249 of the family's 1533-position model. The record is from RNAcentral.